UUGAAAAAGGCAAACUUAUUGAAAAAUAAGGACGCAAAGCCACAGGUCUAAGAGUUUUAUACUUAUGACGGCUGGGUUACCGAA
Molecule: non-coding RNA, 84 nt
Filed under: chicken gut metagenome
Description: Cyclic di-GMP-I riboswitch
Rfam family: c-di-GMP-I riboswitch aptamer
About the family: GEMM was predicted in a large-scale screen for bacterial structured RNA regulatory elements. Genes associated with GEMM are involved in a diverse array of functions, including chemotaxis regulation, signal transduction, secretion and chitin.
Source: RNAcentral